This 253-nucleotide ribosomal RNA is filed under the name uncultured bacterium. RNAcentral's name for it is "partial 16S ribosomal RNA". It matches the Rfam family "Bacterial small subunit ribosomal RNA", at positions 524 to 776 of the family's 1533-position model. The record is from RNAcentral.
UACGGGGGGGGCGAGCGUUGUUCGGAAUUACUGGGCGUAAAGGGUUUGUAGGUGGUCUGCUAAGUCAGACGUGAAAUCCCUCGGCUUAACCGGGGAACUGCGUCUGAUACUGGAUGGCUUGAGAUUGGGAGAGGGAUGCGGAAUUCCAGGUGUAGCGGUGAAAUGCGUAGAUAUCAGGAGGAACACCGGUGGCGAAGGCGGUUCUCUGGGCAUUACCUGACGCUGAGGAGCGAAAGCGUGGGGAGCAAACAGG